This 253-nucleotide ribosomal RNA is filed under the name uncultured bacterium. RNAcentral's name for it is "partial 16S ribosomal RNA". It matches the Rfam family "Bacterial small subunit ribosomal RNA", at positions 524 to 776 of the family's 1533-position model. The record is from RNAcentral.
UACGUAGGGGGCUAGCGUUGUCCGGAUUUAUUGGGCGUAAAGAGCGUGUAGGCGGCCAGGUAGGUCUGCUGUGAAAACUCGAGGCUCAACCUCGAGACGUCGAUGGAAACCGUCUGGCUAGAGUCCGGAAGAGGAGAGUGGAAUUCCUGGUGUAGCGGUGAAAUGCGCAGAUAUCAGGAAGAACACCUAUGGCGAAGGCAGCUCUCUGGGACGGUACUGACGCUGAGACGCGAAAGCGUGGGGAGCGAACAGG